GACGAACGCUGGCGGCGUGCUUAACACAUGCAAGUCGAACGGAAAGGCCCCUUCGGGGGUACUCGAGUGGCGAACAGGUGAGUAACACGUGUGUAACCUGCCCUUGACUUCGGGAUAACUUCAGGAAACUGGGGCUAAUACCGGAUAGGAAUCCUUGCUGCAUGGUGGGGGUUGGAAAGCUUCGGCGGUUUUGGAUGGACUCGCGGCUUAUCAGCUUGUUGGUGGGGUAGUGGCUUACCAAGGCUUUGACGGGUAGCCGGCCUGAGAGGGCGACCGGCCACAUUGGGACUGAGAUACGGCCCAGACUCCUACGGGAGGCAGCAGUGGGGAAUAUUGCACAAUGGGCGGAAGCCUGAUGCAGCAACGCCGCGUGCGGGAUGACGGCCUUCGGGUUGUAAACCGCUUUCAGCAGGGGCGAAGCUUGUGGUGACGGUACCUGCAGAAGAAGCACCGGCUAACUACGUG
Molecule: ribosomal RNA, 465 nt
Filed under: uncultured bacterium
Lineage: Bacteria
Description: partial 16S ribosomal RNA
Rfam family: Bacterial small subunit ribosomal RNA
Source: RNAcentral